Molecule: non-coding RNA, 69 nt
Organism: Trichonephila clavata
Lineage: Eukaryota; Metazoa; Arthropoda; Arachnida; Araneae; Nephilidae
Source: the annotation of a GenBank genome assembly
GUUGUGGAUAAUGGAUAGCGCGUUGGAUUUCUAAUCCAAAGGUCGUGGGUUCAAAUCCCACCUGAAGUG